GUCUAAAGCCAUACCACCUUGAACCUGCCUGAUCUCAUUUGAUCUUCUAAGCUAAGCAGGGUGGAGCCUGGUUAGUACUUGAAUGGUGGAACAGCUGGAAAGAAGGGAUUCUGUAGAAG
RNAcentral lists this ribosomal RNA (119 nucleotides) under Jaculus jaculus (lesser Egyptian jerboa). Lineage: Eukaryota; Metazoa; Chordata; Mammalia; Rodentia; Dipodidae. The record is from RNAcentral.